GGGAUGUUGUGUGGUGUCCUGGCAGCCAGGGCGCCUCACAGCCUUCUUGUGCUUAGGAACACUAGAUAGCGCUUCGGUAUAUGCUUGGGAGUCAUUUGAAACAAUGAAAUCACCAACAAAAAGCACAAAAAUGUGAAAAAUGUGACACUGAAUAGACCAUGAAAAGGGUGCUUGUUUACAAAGAGAAACAAAACAAGUAGCAAGAGCAUCUCUUUAUUCAACCUCCAUUGCCUGGCUGGGACCUCAGUUAGAAACAAGUGCAUUGCUGACUCCAACUUUUUGCUGCUCUGCACAUGUCUGCUAUUGACAGCAGAGGGACAGAGUAUUGAUUUUGGGAUUACAAGUAAAUUUUUGCCAGUUGGCAAAUACAGAAUCGGUGAAUCUUGAGGAUGGCUGUAUCUAACUUCCCUGAAACCAAACACAAAAGGCCAAGGAAUGGGCUUUUAUAGCUUUUUCUCUGUUCAUCCAUUUGGAAGGGGCCAUAACUUCAGUAUAUUUUAACUUUCAAGAUGUCAUCAAUACUUUGGGGUUUAAUGCCUUACACAAAUAACCCUGAAAUUAUAGUUUGUUUUGAUCUAAACAGUGUGAAAUCAGAUUUUAUUACUUUGAAAAUGGCCUAAUACUUGUGAAUCUCUCACCUUUGGUCAGCAUGUUCUUCCUAUAUUCCCAUAAAUUGGAUGCUCUGAGCAGGUUUUUCUAUUUGGCCAUUGAGGUCAGUGAACUGAAUAGAAGUUAGGGUACCGUUUAACACUCUUGAGGGGUGUAGGCUCCUGCAGUGAGAGAUCGUGUUUUGGGGUCUAAUUUUGCUCUGGGCCACGGCUAAGUCCAUCAGGAAUCUCGCCAUAGUACAAUGGUGUUUGACUGGACAGGCUUUCAACACUGUGUCAGUGGCGAUUUGCAGAAAUUCCCUGGAAGAUUCAAAAGCCCAUGAAGGGGCCUGACAGGUGAAAGUUGGGAAAAGCACAAACUAAAUAAUAGUAUUUAUGGAGACUGAGCCAAAGCAGCACUGGGACACCAAGGAGAGGUGACCACUUCCCUUUUUGAAGAUGCUAUGAGCUUCCUGUGAAAGAAAACAUACCGGAUUUGGCUUUAAGAAAGAAAAUAUUUUGAUCUUUGGGUUUUAAUAAGCAAUUUCCUAAGAAGCUAAAUUAAGUUAAAUUUAAGAAGAAAAUGAAAAAUAAAAUGAAUAGACACAUAAACCCCAAUGUGCUUUAAAAAUGCCUUUAUAAUUUUCCAUGGAACAAUUUUUUGUAUAGUUAAGGAAAAGCACGUUAGUCAUCUUUUCUGGCAGCCUGAAACUAUUUGGUUUCUAAUUCCUAAAGGAAUCAUUUAUUUAGCUCAUUGAAGAGUAAGCCGGCUGCCCCAUCAAGUGCCCACCACCCCCUCAGAGCUGGGGAGUCCCUCUGGGGAGGCUCAGGUUAUGGCUGCACGUCCAGCGCCUGUUGGAGUGCCGCACAGCAAGUCCAAGAUAACCCCAGGGCCUCCAGGAAAGAGAGCCGCGCGCAUCUUGCCGUUAGGCAGAUCAACUUUCCUUGUCUCUUCUCUUUCCCUAAAAUGUUGAGCCUUCCUGCCCAGAUGAUGUCCCCGCUUGUGCAGAUGCAAGAAACAAGGCAGAACGCCACGCCACUUUGUUUUCCCUGGAAGGGAAAGGAGCACUUAACGCCCUCGGAAGCAACACCCUCCAAAUACAGCAAUCCCGCUGUUCUGGGGGCCAGACUGCCACUGACCUCAGCUUUCCUAGCCACAAAAGAUUUUGGAAAACGCCUUUAAGGAAAAGGCGGUCACAAAGCCCGUCUACUUUUUUCAGGCCAGAGGACUAGGCAGAUUAAGGAGGAGGCCCCGGGAGCAGUAAUGGACACUGCCUAGGAUGCUGGUUUUGAAGGAGCACUAAAUCCCCACUGGAAGAAACUAAAAAUGCGAUGUCCAUUAACUCAAGUUUUCACUUACAACUGUUCCUGUGGAAGCAGUUCCUUCCUGCAAACUUCACCUUCGUGUCAUGGGACUUCUCAGUGAAGCAGCCUUUUUGUGACACCUCCAUGCGAGCAGCAGGGCACAACUGCAGGCCUGACCGCAGCCCCUCCCCCCGCCACCUGGGUCCACAUGUGGAGGCUGGAGUCCCGUUUCCCACAGCUGAUGAUGCCUGGUUCCUAAGAUGCUGUUCCUGGGAGUGGGGGCGCUCAUUCUCUUUUAUUAUCUAAAUGAUAAGCUCUUUAAUUGCCUCACAAAACAGCCUGGCUUAGAAAAUUGUGGGCAAUUUUAUUUUUAAAUUGCCCAGAAUUUUCUAAGCCACAAGAGUAUGUAGCCAUUCUCUUGUUUGGAAUACUGUAUAAAGAAAGAAGUAUAUGAUUUUUAUUCGUAGAACAUUCUCACUCCCACUAAUGUUGAACAAAAAUGCUUUCGAGGGGAGCAACUUUAUUAACUCUCUUAGGGGCCCCAGUGUGUCUAGCCCUGUGGGUUUGACUUGUUUGGCUAUUGGGUUUCUUCCCUGUCUUCAGCCCUAGGGAUGGGCCACUGGGAGUGGAAUAUCUGGUCUACAAAUAUCUAAACAGCUUAGAAAAUCCAUUUAAAUGUUGAGUAAGCAUCUCAGACUUAACAGGUCUAAAAUAGAUCUCUUGAUUUCUCAAGCUCCCACCUUUCUUGCAAGUGCUUUCUUACUCACAAGCUAGGAUGACCAACCAUCAUGGUUUUUCCUGGACUGAGGGUUUUCAGCGCUAAAACCAGGAAAGUCCCGGGACGAGUCUGUCACCUUAUUUCAGGCCAAUUUGUGCCUCGGGAGGCAGCAAAGGGUUUGCCAGUGCGGGCUGUGGAGCCGACUGCCUGGGGAAGGGCCUAACUCCAUUCUUGAACUUGCCAUGUAACUGUGGCACUUAAAAAUUGAGAAAAAUAGCAUCUGCUUAUUAGUGAUGUUGUGGAGCCACAAUGAAAUCAUGUAUGUAGAGUGCUUCUCAGUGUGCUGUGCGUGUAGGAAGGGCUCAUAAAUGUUAGCUUCUAUUAUUGUUGCAAUUAUUAUUAUUUGAAGGUAUAACACAGUAAUGGAGUGGGUAAUCCUGUGGGAAAAACAACAACUAAUACACCCGAUGUCAGCCCAGAGCCAUCAAAUAACAUUCAUGACAGCUUAAGAAGGUGGGAAAGUAUGGAAUCAUGUUCCUCCUUUUGAAAACUGUUUAUCAAAAUGAAUUUUACCCUGAAAAGUUUGGUUGUCUAUAGGGGCAAGUCUUGAUUAUCUGGAAAAUCCAGGCAAAGGCAUUUCUUGGGUAAAGGAGGUACAACUCUGUAUGCACACUCAAGCGUCUACAGGCCUCCUAAGUGUCCUCGAUGGGGCACCAGACACUGGAGGGGGCGGGGAGGGCUGAGCCUGUGGUUGGUCAGUCUCGCCCCCAUCCGGGGACACAGUGUCAGGCUGCAGACCCCGGGGCUCCAGACACAUGUGUUUUAGAUUAGUGUUAAUAGUCUGCUUCUGAAGCUCUUAUUUCCUGUCAUUUGGCUGCAAAUUUUGCUGAGUCAUUUGACCUCAUGGCUUUUCUGAAAGAGUAGUCAUGUGAUCAGAAGAAACUGUUGUGGGCCCACAGCUUGUCUGUGCACAGAUAUUUUUUUCAAACUCGAUUCAACCAGUAUUCCCAGGUCACAAAC
This is a long non-coding RNA of Equus caballus (horse), 3630 nucleotides long. Lineage: Eukaryota; Metazoa; Chordata; Mammalia; Perissodactyla; Equidae. The record is from Ensembl.